AGAGUGAACGCUGGCGGCAGGCCUAACACAUGCAAGUCGAACGGCAGCACAGGAGAGCUUGCUCUCUGGGUGGCGAGUGGCGGACGGGUGAGGAAUACGUCGGAAUCUGCCUAUUUGUGGGGGAUAACGUAGGAAACUUACGCUAAUACCGCAUACGACCUACGGGUGAAAGCGGAGGACCUUCGGGCUUCGCGCAGAUAGAUG
RNAcentral lists this ribosomal RNA (204 nucleotides) under uncultured soil bacterium. Its description in RNAcentral is "partial 16S ribosomal RNA". It matches the Rfam family "Bacterial small subunit ribosomal RNA", at positions 26 to 227 of the family's 1533-position model. The record is from RNAcentral.